GGUCGGGUGGCCGAGUGGCUAGGCAGAGCUCUGCAAAAGCUUCCACAGCGGUUCGAAUCCGCUCUCGACCU
This 71-nucleotide transfer RNA is filed under the name Bacteroidota bacterium. RNAcentral's name for it is "tRNA-Cys". It matches the Rfam family "tRNA". From Rfam's summary of the family: Transfer RNA (tRNA) molecules are approximately 80 nucleotides in length. Lineage: Bacteria; Pseudomonadati; Bacteroidota. The record is from RNAcentral.